UACGUAGGGGGCAAGCGUUGUCCGGAUUUAUUGGGCGUAAAGCGCUCGCAGGCGGUCCGAUGCGUCGGGCGUGAAAGACCCCGGCUCAACUGGGGAGGGUCGUGCGAUACGGUCGGACUCGAGGCCAGUAGGGGGACGCGGAAUUCCGGGUGUAGUGGUGGAAUGCGUAGAGAUCCGGAGGAACACCAGCGGCGAAGGCGGCGUCCUGGACUGGUACUGACGCACAGGAGCGA
RNAcentral lists this ribosomal RNA (233 nucleotides) under uncultured bacterium. Its description in RNAcentral is "partial 16S ribosomal RNA". It matches the Rfam family "Bacterial small subunit ribosomal RNA", at positions 524 to 756 of the family's 1533-position model. The record is from RNAcentral.